AUAUAAGCAAAAUUCACUUUUUAGGUUCAUUCAUUUAAUGAUGUAUGUGGUCCACAUACAUCAUUAAAUGAAUGAACCUAAAAAGUGAAUUUUGCUUAUAU
Medicago truncatula (barrel medic) is the source of this 101-nucleotide microRNA precursor. It matches the Rfam family "MIR2593 microRNA precursor family". Lineage: Eukaryota; Viridiplantae; Streptophyta; Magnoliopsida; Fabales; Fabaceae. The record is from Rfam.